Molecule: long non-coding RNA, 558 nt
Organism: Canis lupus familiaris (dog)
Lineage: Eukaryota; Metazoa; Chordata; Mammalia; Carnivora; Canidae
Exons: 3
Source: RefSeq, a predicted model, not a curated record
GAAGAAAGCCAUGGGAGAGGAGGGAAGCUGACCAUUGAUCACAGGCUGGAUAUUCUGGGAAAGAGAAACAGACAAUGUGGAUAAUGCAUAGUUCCUAUCGAGUCGCACGAAGGCAAAGGGUAGAAGUGGUCCCUUCACUUUUUCCGUUUUAAUGUGGACUCCCUGCACUGGUGAAAAUGAAGAGAAUAAUGCAGAUAACAAUCCAGGAGAAGAAACUCUUGAGAGGAGGAAAACUUGUUGAGCUUCCUCUUAAAUUGAUGUACAAUAUUUACUUCUGUUGCUGACUCCAGCACUUUGUUCCAUCUCAUUAAUUCAAGGAGUAAGAAACAUCAAGGAACAUCAGGAACAUCAUUAAUCCAAAGACCAUUUCUGGCCAUGCCUAAGUGAAGCUAUUAAAGAUAUUUCAAGAUCUGACUAAAACAGUUAUUAAAAAGCCUAACCACUAUGUCUCAAUUUAUUUUCCUAGAUAAUUGUAACAUCUUUGUUUUGGGUCAUGGGUUGAUACAUGUCUUUGGGUCUCAUUUGCUACAUUAUUUUCAGGCCAGAGUGAAAAGAAAU